ACCACGGUGAAACGAAAACUAGACAACGAACCAGGGUCGUUUUUGGGUUGAAACGAUCAAGAGAAAUUCAAAAGACGCCACUAUUUCCUGGAGGCAGCUAGCAAAGGGAGAAUGUGUUACUACGUUAUCCCAAGAAAGGAACAAAACUACACUAAAACACAACACAAAGAAAGCAAAUUUUAAUCAGUUGAACCAGAAGAUAAUCGAUGAAAGACUAAACAAACGGUAAGCAUAAAAAAAACCACGCACCUGGGAUGAAAUGUCGCAAGAGAGAAAAAGAGAGGAGGAAGACGAUAAAGAUAUCAUAAACAACAAUAGAAUGCCGCAACAAAAAGAAGACGUGCCAAAAGGGAGAAAAAGAAGAGUGCCGCGAGAGAAAAAGGAGAAAAGGAAGAGGAAGAUACCAGAAACUGAAUGCCGCGAAGAGUUUGCAGUCUACUUAAAAUGAAACUGGGCGUCGGUUUCUCCAGAUAGUCGACGUCUACAUGACUAUAGACGUCAGUUUUGUUACUAAUUUGACGUCCAAGUUAACUUUUCAACUGACCUUUUGAAUCCCACUAGACGUUGGUAACAAUGGGAACCGACGUCUAGGAAGCUGAAACGAUUGACAUUUGAUUUCCUGUUAGGGAUGUUGACGACAGUUGUGAUGGGGCGCCGACGUCUAUAAUGUGCACAUCAUUACUUACAGGCACAUAGACGUCGGUGCCUCUUCUAGCCAACAUCUAUGGCCCUUGAAUUUGGUGAAUCUAAUUAAUUACAGGCACGUAGACGUUGCGUGCACAGAUCCCCGAC
Molecule: long non-coding RNA, 792 nt
Filed under: Vigna radiata
Lineage: Eukaryota; Viridiplantae; Streptophyta; Magnoliopsida; Fabales; Fabaceae
Description: long non-coding RNA (VRAD_LNC005970)
Source: RNAcentral